Molecule: non-coding RNA, 30 nt
Filed under: Mus musculus (house mouse)
Lineage: Eukaryota; Metazoa; Chordata; Mammalia; Rodentia; Muridae
Source: RNAcentral
GUUAGUUGACUCUGUUGGUCUUCUUGUGGG